UCAGAUCAAAAAUUUUUAAAG
Molecule: non-coding RNA, 21 nt
Filed under: Caenorhabditis elegans
Lineage: Eukaryota; Metazoa; Nematoda; Chromadorea; Rhabditida; Rhabditidae
Source: RNAcentral